AUGCGCCUUUAAAAAGGUACGGUAGGUGAUUACCGUACACUCUUAAAGGCGCAUGC
Molecule: microRNA precursor, 56 nt
Filed under: Caenorhabditis elegans
Lineage: Eukaryota; Metazoa; Nematoda; Chromadorea; Rhabditida; Rhabditidae
Description: microRNA cel-mir-8194 precursor
Source: miRBase by way of RNAcentral